AGCGAACGCUGGCGGCAGGCUUAACACAUGCAAGUCGAGCGGGCAUCUUCGGAUGUCAGCGGCAGACGGGUGAGUAACACGUGGGAACGUACCCUUCGGUUCGGAACAACUCUGGGAAACUGGAGCUAAUACCGGAUACGCCCUUAUGGGGAAAGGUUUACUGCCGAAGGAUCGGCCCGCGUCUGAUUAGCUAGUUGGUGGGGUAACGGCCUACCAAGGCGACGAUCAGUAGCUGGUCUGAGAGGAUGAUCAGCCACACUGGGACUGAGACACGGCCCAGACUCCUACGGGAGGCAGCAGUGGGGAAUAUUGGACAAUGGGCGCAAGCCUGAUCCAGCCAUGCCGCGUGAGUGAUGAAGGCCUUAGGGUUGUAAAGCUCUUUUGUCCGGGACGAUAAUGACGGUACCGGAAGAAUAAGCCCCGGCGAACUUCGU
This 434-nucleotide ribosomal RNA is filed under the name uncultured bacterium. RNAcentral describes it as "partial 16S ribosomal RNA". It matches the Rfam family "Bacterial small subunit ribosomal RNA", at positions 29 to 506 of the family's 1533-position model. The record is from RNAcentral.